Molecule: small nucleolar RNA, 106 nt
Filed under: Nakaseomyces glabratus
Lineage: Eukaryota; Fungi; Ascomycota; Saccharomycetes; Saccharomycetales; Saccharomycetaceae
Description: Candida glabrata Small nucleolar RNA snR73
Rfam family: Small nucleolar RNA snR73
Source: Rfam by way of RNAcentral
GUUUAUGAUGAUUACCACUUAUUAUCACGACGGUCAACUGCGUUCUUCGAUUGUUUAUCUUAGAACUUUGAUGAUAUUCUGCCUGUGACAGGGCGUGGAACUGAUU